GACGAACGCUGGCGGCGUGCCUAAUACAUGCAAGUCGAGCGGACUUUCAAGAAGCUUGCUUUUUGAAAGUUAGCGGCGGACGGGUGAGUAACACGUGGGCAACCUGCCUGCAAGACGGGGAUAACUCCGGGAAACCGGGGCUAAUACCGGAUAAUAUCUUCCUUCGCAUGAAGGAAGGUUGAAAGGCGGCGCAAGCUGCCGCUUGCAGAUGGGCUCGCGGCGCAUUAGCUAGUUGGUGAGGUAACGGCUCACCAAGGCGACGAUGCGUAGCCGACCUGAGAGGGUGAUCGGCCACACUGGGACUGAGACACGGCCCAGACUCCUACGGGAGGCAGCAGUAGGGAAUCUUCCGCAAUGGACGAAAGUCUGACGGAGCAACGCCGCGUGAGCGAAGAAGGUCUUCGGAUCGUAAAGCUCUGUUGUCAGGGAAGAACAAGUACCGUUCGAACAGGGCGGUACCUUGACGGUACCUGACCAGAAAGCCACGGCUAACUACGUG
RNAcentral lists this ribosomal RNA (499 nucleotides) under uncultured bacterium. RNAcentral describes it as "partial 16S ribosomal RNA". It matches the Rfam family "Bacterial small subunit ribosomal RNA", at positions 28 to 507 of the family's 1533-position model. The record is from RNAcentral.